RNAcentral lists this long non-coding RNA (1347 nucleotides) under Homo sapiens (human). Its description in RNAcentral is "long non-coding RNA NONHSAT209447.1". Lineage: Eukaryota; Metazoa; Chordata; Mammalia; Primates; Hominidae. The record is from RNAcentral.
UAUGUAGAGCUGGAAAAAUGUAAGAAUACCCAAUUUCUUGUUCUAGCUCUACUGGUAGGGGCACUAAAAAGAUAAAUGAAACUGAAACUGGAAGGUUUUACAAAGACUAUAUUAACAAACUGAAGAAUUUUCAGGCACCAAGUUAUAUUUUUUCUGUAAUUCACCUGUGGGACAAUAUGACUCUAUCUAAAUAUAUGUAAUUGGAGUGCCAGAAGGAAGGAGAAGAGAAAGUUCGUUGAUGAAGUUCUGGAAGAAGGUCAAGUCCAAAAGGAGCUCCAAAAGUAGCUGUAUUUGGUCUCAGCAUUUUUAACACGGAGCGGGCGGGGCUCGGGGUCUUCCGGAGCCUCCGGUCGCGGGUCUAAGAGGACUAGGGCGGGAGCGGCGCGGAAGAAAGAGAGGACUGCGUUUUGGGGCGUUCUGUCAGAGGGGAAGGACGUGUGGAUUGGAGUCAGACUGCACUCCCGCCCUAUUUCUGCAAGUAGAACUCACUGCCUUUAGAAACGGUCUUCUGAGGCUCUGUUGGGAGGCUCUAACUGUAUUACAGAGGACACAUUUUUGUUUGUUUUUAUGUGAAACAUUCAGAAGUUGCUUGCAUCAAGUGCUUUACAAGUACACUGGUUUUCAAACUUUUAAAGUUGAGGAACUGUUUUGAUUUUUGUAAAAAUAGAACUUUACUUGGAAGCCCAACAGGUGUAAUUUUAAAAUAUUUGGUUUUACUAUGUAGCCUGAGAGGGAGAGAGAGAAAAAAUGAGAGAGAAAAAAAUUCUAAGUGUCAAGAACAAGUAGAAAAUUUGAAGCCAGUGACUUGGUGGAGAAGAUUAGUCGUGGAUGAAAGACUCUUUCCUAACUUCUGAAACUGUAAUAUUCAGCCAAGGAAAUGAGACAACUUAUUCUUGCAUCAUAAGGAUUUUUUAAAAACUGGACCGAAUUACAAAGAGAACUUGCAAAGUUAAUAAUCAUAUUGAGAUUGGUAACAUGCUUCUACCAGAAAUAAUAGGUCGCUUAGAAACUAGUACUCUCAGAACAUGGAGUGGAAGAGGUGAUCAUGGUAGCAACAGACUGAGGAGUGAAUUUGAACUUGAGUUUUGUCUUGCUGUUUUUCAUUGAUGGAACCCAACUGGAAAUCAGAAUACAAGGGCACUCGAUUAAUUCAGUUCACAGAGGACUUCUUCCUGUGGCACGGAGCAUGGUGGGGAAAGGUGGUCUUAAUAUGCUGUUGCUGAAAGAAUGAAUUUCUUCUAGGUGUGCAUGAAACUGAGUAGGGCUGAAGAUCACCGAAGAAUGCAGACACAGAAAGGGUGAAUCCUGGAUGGUCUGGAUUUAGAACAUUCAAAUAAAAUCUUAUGG